GGCUAUGUAACCUGAUGGUUAAGGUUCUUCACCUUCAUUGGAGUGAUUUGGUGUUCAAACCUCCACUUAACUC
RNAcentral lists this transfer RNA (73 nucleotides) under Scleropages formosus (Asian bonytongue). Its description in RNAcentral is "tRNA-Glu". It matches the Rfam family "tRNA". Rfam says of the family: Transfer RNA (tRNA) molecules are approximately 80 nucleotides in length. The record is from RNAcentral. Lineage: Eukaryota; Metazoa; Chordata; Actinopteri; Osteoglossiformes; Osteoglossidae.